UGUCACUCACAAUCUAUGGGAUUGGAGAAGAAUUCAAAAGAAAUAAGGUACGUAGAAGCUUAACAUGAAAUCCUGAACAACAGGCUAAGUAAUUUGAUUUAUCCCUUAAAAAUAGGUGCUGAGGUUUUUUUUUUGGGGGGGUGGGGGGGGAGUGGGGUUUCCAGAUUGUUUUUCAAAAUUUCACUGAUUUUUGUUUUCAAACAUUAUGUUUUAAAUCUCAUUUUACACUCAGAACUAGCAAAUAGCUUAUGAAAUAGGGCUUGGGAAAUAGGAUCUUUAUAAUUUUAGAAAUUUUGGCUACCUCAAAUGUGUUAAGCAUGGCAGAUGGAUGUGCAGACAGCAUGUCUUAAUUUUUGUUCUAGAAGAAAAUCCUUAGAGUUGUCCCUGCUUUUUUUUCUUUUUUCUUGACUUUCCCCCUUUCACUGCUCCAGAGCCUUACGUUUUAUGUCCUAAUUCAUGAUUUCACCUGCACUACUGCUUGACUCACCCCUCCGUGAGUUCCACCUUUGGUGGGAAUCAGCCAUACUAAUGCGCAAUCAAAUCUGCCAGAUGAAGCAUUCUAUGUGUCCACCUUCCUGAUGCAUUCAAGUCUGGCCACCUUUUAAAAACACUUUACCCCAAAGACAGAUAGGACUGCAGGUGUACCAGAGCUUAGACACGGCAAUAAUCUCACAGACUUGUUGUUGACUCAUGUGAUUUCUUUUGGGUCCAGUUGGGCAGCCAAUGUGGUGUGGUUUUCUGGAAAGGGAGGGAAUAGUUAGAAUGGAGAGAGAAGAAGAAGGAGAAGGAGAAGAGGAGGAGGAGGAAGGAGAGGAGGAGGAGGAGGAGGAGAGAAGAGGAGGGGAGGGGAGAAGAGGGAGGAGGGGGGGGAGGGGGGGGGGGAGAGGGGGGGGAAGGAGGAGGAGGAGGAGGAGGGGAAGGGAGAUUUGGGAGGACAGGAGGAAUGGAGGUGAGCCUCUAGAAUAGGGCUUCUAGAAAUGGACAGUUCUUAGUGAUUGAUUUGCAAUGAUUUUUCCCUUUUCAGAUUCCAGAUGAUGGACUCUAUGAAGAAUUAAACAUUUAUUCACCAAUUUACAGUGAGUUGGAAGAAAAAAUAGAAACAUCUUCUCCCACGAGUUCCUAAGAGUCAUAUGCCCAGAACGUUUUGAUUUACAACGUCCAGAAAGCCAAAACCUUUAAAAGGCAAAAUUUCUAUUCUCAGCAUAGUCUUUCUAACAUUUUAUGUUAGAUUUGUCCUUCAAAUGACAAUAUUUUGUUUUUAUUAUUUCUGAUCAACUAAAUACCAUCACCCCCAUUUGUAGAUACUUUUCUUAUUUUGUGUCUUGAUCUCCAAGCGAUCACUCUGGAAAGCCAACAUAAAAUCCCUGGACUUUUACUGUAUAACUCUGCAAAGAUGGAAAAAGAGGAGGCUGGACUGAGAGUUGAGCUAAACUUGGACAGUUUGGUGAUAUUUAGUUCUUAGUUAUUUUUAGAGUUCCUUAUAGCUAUAGUUAUGUAUGAUAUGCACCUGUAUGCACAUACAUAUACAUAUAUGACUUACAUGAUAUGCAGUUUUCUAUAUCCAAAUAUACUACUCUCCCUCAAUGACAACACACUUUUGCAAAAACACUAGUUUUAUAACAGUAUAUUGCCUGAAUCACCAGUUCAUUCACUGAUACAGUGUAGUUCAACAGUGUUUGGUGAAGAGGUAGUGGGGAGUUUAUUCAGCUACCGGCAUCUGGUGAGAUGGACAGGUAAAAACAGGAAACCUGUAAGUGGAAAGAACAUUUCGUAAGGCAUUUGUGAUGAAGGAAGAAUAACGAAGGUGUGAAUUGAAAUGAGUGGUCAUGGAGAGAAGUGAUCAUAUCUAAAACACGUAGCAAAAGAUCUACCUAAAUAAACUAGUAGAUCUUACUAACAAGUUAAAGAAUAAAGUUAAGCAAGCAAGGGUUUGACUAAUACAUUAAGUGUUUGAGUCUAAGAUGAAAGGAGAACACCUAGUCAUUUUGGAAAAAAAAUAUUAGGAGUUCAGAAAUAUGAGGUUUGAAUGAGGCUCACAGAUAGCCGAGGGGAAGCUCAGUUUUAGACUUGCAUCUUGAGGGAAGUGCAGUGGAAAGGCCUGAUGGCGUCCAACACAAUUUGGUGAUAGAGGUUUAGUUUAAUUACAAGGGAGUUCGUUAUUAGGUUAAUGCUCUUAAGAGUUAUUUUGAGAUGAAGGAAAGCCAAGUUAAACUUUAUAUGCUUAUAAUACGAGGGAAAAAAAUAAUGUUAAAAUCUAGAAGACGUAAGAAUUAGUUAAAAAAAAAAAGUGCCCGAGAAACAGAGGAUAUCAGGUAUCCCAAUGUAGAUAAAAGUGAAGCAAAGAGAAAAUAACUCACACUUAGAGGGGGAACAUGUAAGCUUGGGAGAAGUUCACAGUGACAUAUAGACUCCAGGUAUGCAAAGAGAUGGGAAAGAGAAAAUAGCAAAAUAAAUGAAUGCAAAAGACACAGAGGCAUUCCAUCUAGGGGUGUGAAGAGUAGAGGAGUGAAACAUUUGUAAAGGUAUUUGGAGAGAGAGGCCGUGAGGUGUGUGGGGGGGUUAUUGAGCAAUAAGCGGGGGACUGAGUAGAAGAGAGUAAAGAAAAAUUAAGUUAGGCACAUGGUUUUGUUGCUGUUUUUAUUUCUAAAAGAAGGAAAGAGUCAGUCCUGUCUUAAGCCUAAGUGGAGGAGCCCUGUGAGUCACUGAGAAGUCAGUGUAGGGCUCAGGCCCCUCUCUUUUGCCACACACCCACCAGGGGCACACGGCUGGCAUGUUCCUCACCUUUCCAUGGCCCCAGUGAUCAUUCUAAAUUUCAACAACUUCUCUGUAAAGAUUCCCUAAUAUGCAUCUCUUCUUCUAGCCUUUAUUCUUUGCUCCAUAACCACUGUCCCCCUCAUUGAAGCAUAGUAUAAUGAAUUAUUAGCGUACUCAUGAUCUCCUUAUGUAGCCUCAACUGCUAGUAAUUGUGCAAUAAAUUGAAACUACCUAACUUGAUUUCUUGUCUUUGUAC
RNAcentral lists this long non-coding RNA (3010 nucleotides) under Marmota monax (woodchuck). The record is from RNAcentral. Lineage: Eukaryota; Metazoa; Chordata; Mammalia; Rodentia; Sciuridae.